UGUCUCUAGGGCAAAUCUGUCACACCCUGCAGGACUUCUACAGCCACAGUAACUGGGUGGAGCUGGGAAAUAAAGCUCCAUACAGUGCUCUGAUCAGACCUGACCAACCUCUUAAGAACCUGGCAGGACAAAAUACGCCAACUUGCAGAAGUUGUGUAGGAGAGAACUGUACCAACAACAUUCUGCCUGAUGUGCUGAACCAGAGACUUCUGACUUCAGGCUACUUCGGCAUUUUCUUCUCAUCAAAACCCACAGGUAAAUGCAGUCAUGGUGGAUCUGCUGACC
This is a long non-coding RNA of Oreochromis aureus, 285 nucleotides long. RefSeq lists it as uncharacterized. The transcript is spliced from 4 exons. Lineage: Eukaryota; Metazoa; Chordata; Actinopteri; Cichliformes; Cichlidae. The record is from RefSeq and is a predicted model, not a curated record.